This 497-nucleotide ribosomal RNA is filed under the name uncultured bacterium. RNAcentral's name for it is "partial 16S ribosomal RNA". It matches the Rfam family "Bacterial small subunit ribosomal RNA", at positions 28 to 507 of the family's 1533-position model. The record is from RNAcentral.
GAUGGACGCUGGCGGCGUGCCUAAUACAUGCAAGUCGAGCGAACAGACGAGAAGCUUGCUUCUCUGAUGUUAGCGGCGGACGGGUGAGUAACACGUGGAUAACCUACCUAUAAGACUGGGAUAACUUCGGGAAACCGGAGCUAAUACCGGAUAAUAUUUUGAACCGCAUGGUUCAAAAGUAAAAGACGGUCUUGCUGUCACUUAUAGAUGGAUCCGCGCUGCAUUAGCUAGUUGGUAAGGUAACGGCUUACCAAGGCAACGAUGCAUAGCCGACCUGAGAGGGUGAUCGGCCACACCGGAACUGAGACACGGUCCAGACUCCUACGGGAGGCAGCAGUAGGGAAUCUUCCGCAAUGGGCGAAAGCCUGACGGAGCAACGCCGCGUGAGUGAUGAAGGUCUUCGGAUCGUAAAACUCUGUUAUUAGGGAAGAACAUAUGUGUAAGUAACUGUGCACAUCUUGACGGUACCUAAUCAGAAAGCCACGGCUAACUACGUG